UACGGAGGGAGCUAGCGUUUGUUGUCGGGAAUUCUGGGCGUAAAGCGCGCGUAGGCGGACUUUGUAAGUUAGAACGGUGAAAGCCCGGGGCUCAACCCCGGAAUUGCCUUUUAAGACGUGCAAUCGCUUGAAUCCGGGAGAGGUGAGUGGAAUUCCGAGUGUAGAGGUGAAAUUCGUAGAUAUUCGGAAGAACCACCAGUGGCGAAGGCGGCUCACUGGACCGGCAUUGACGCUGAGGUGCGAAAGCGUGGGGAGCAAACAGG
RNAcentral lists this ribosomal RNA (263 nucleotides) under uncultured bacterium. RNAcentral describes it as "partial 16S ribosomal RNA". It matches the Rfam family "Bacterial small subunit ribosomal RNA", at positions 524 to 776 of the family's 1533-position model. The record is from RNAcentral.